RNAcentral lists this ribozyme (65 nucleotides) under Aedes aegypti (yellow fever mosquito). Its description in RNAcentral is "drz-agam-1 ribozyme". It matches the Rfam family "drz-agam-1 ribozyme". Lineage: Eukaryota; Metazoa; Arthropoda; Insecta; Diptera; Culicidae. The record is from Rfam by way of RNAcentral.
UGUCCAAUAACUCCUAUCCCUACCUCCCCGUGGUGUCGUCUGGGGUACGAGUAAGAAGGGGAAGG